AAAACAAUGCUUUAUUAAAUUCAGUCUAUUCACAUUAAAAAAAUUAAAUAUAUACAUAUAUAUAUAUAUAUGUACGUAUCCAUAAUGAUAUUUAAAAAAAAAAAAAGCUAUGUAAAAGAAAAAAAGAAAAGGAAAAAACACGUGGUCUCCUGUUAGUCAAACAUUUCCUCGGUCAACGGCUGAAGAAAACGACAGCCACCAGAUUUUGACACGUGGAUUUGACGGACGAAUUACAACCGCUGAUACAUUUAUUGAUAAGUGCGAUGGAUGACUUUUAUGAGAGUCAUGAAGUAAAAGGAGGAGGAGGAGAUGGCGCUUUCAGUAGCAAGUUUUCACCUGAAAUCAAUAAAUACAGUCUCCUAUACCAUGCAGUAUACACUCUUAAAUUACAUGGAUGGGGGUUUAAAAGUAUCUAUAUACAACAACUAUAUUUAUACAUGCACACACCUAUAUAUACAUAUAUACACACAGGUAAUAAGAUUUGUAGGGUAGAGCUAAACUACCAGAGAUAUGGCUUGUCACCAGAAUCACAAUAUAAGAACUAGUACUUCUAGCUUCCCACCUANNNN
This 569-nucleotide long non-coding RNA is filed under the name Carica papaya (papaya). Its description in RNAcentral is "long non-coding RNA (CPAP_LNC012085)". The record is from RNAcentral. Lineage: Eukaryota; Viridiplantae; Streptophyta; Magnoliopsida; Brassicales; Caricaceae.